RNAcentral lists this long non-coding RNA (964 nucleotides) under Pelobates cultripes (western spadefoot toad). Lineage: Eukaryota; Metazoa; Chordata; Amphibia; Anura; Pelobatidae. The record is from RNAcentral.
UGGGCAGUCACUGAUUGUCUGAGAGCGUCAGCUGACCACUCUAAGCCAGUUAGUGGUGUUCCUUCCUGGCAGAACUCCGCGCUUCCUGUAGCUGAGAUGCACAAGCCAGAUGUCACUUGGGGCACUUGCAGAUUGGCACUGGAGGAACACGUUGGCAUUAAGCUGUUUGAGAAAGGUUUCACCCUUCAAGGUAAGAGUGUGCCGGGUGCCUCCUGGCACCAUAACAACUUAAUUAGCAUGACGUUGUUAUGAUAAACGGAAUGUCCCUUUGACUAAACUUUCGGAUUUAUUCACCAAACUGAAAAUUGACAACUAAAUUGCAAAUUGUAAGCCCCAAUAACUAUUGAUAUAGCUCAACUAUUUGGGCUUAAGACAUGCAAUUCCCUUUUUGAGUUCUCCAUGAUUCCCAAUCUAAUAAGUGAACACCUUUGUGUAUGUACUCUGUCCAACAAAAUGAUGUGCAUCCAUGUAGCAGGUGUAGAAUGAAGCACUGAAGCAUGCAUAAAAAUUAGAUAUUUUGAUUUGCAUGCAGCUGCUUAAAUCCCCUCUCUUAUCAAUCUGCUUGCAAGAUACCUGAGGAAGGAUAGAGUCUUUAUGCCGUGCCUAUUUCCUUAUUGUUAACGCUAAAAGAGAGGACAGCAACUGUGUGCCACGCUGGGAAGAAUUAAUAGAAGCGGUUUUCCUCCACAGACCCCCUGACGUCAGCCCUCUAAGUGCGUGGAGAAUAAUCUAAUGCUAAAACACAUCUGGAUCCAGACACAGAGGGGGCCCCGGAGCAGACACAGGGAGGGAAGAUCUGAGCUUUCCAAAAAAAAGAGCCUGCAGCUCCUGCCAAUAUCCUACACAGAGAUGUAAACAGUCAGGAGCCCAGAAUUGAGGAUGGAGAUUUGUGUCUGAGUAUUAGAUAGAAGAGAAAAACAUGUCGAGAGGAAAGGCGUGAACAUGAAAAUAAAUAAAUAAAAAA